UUUUAUUAAUAUUUAAAAGGAAGAGCAAAUGGCCAUGUAAAAUUGUAACACAUACAAUUUCUUAUAAGGCAGCGUUUGGUUAGGGGAUAGGGAUAGAAAUAGAUCCUUAUCCCUCCCUUUAUAUCCAAACACUAAUUUUUUAUCCGAGAAUAGUAGUUCUCGGUUAUCCGUACCAACACCUUCAUUUUCUAUAUAAAACUAUCUAAAAUUGUUCUUAUCCACGGAAACAACUCAAUUUUCAUCCAAACAUUAUUUUUCUUAUUCCCAUACUUAUCCCUAUUCCUAUAAUAAGUAGUUCUUGUUUAUACCCGAACCAAACGGUACCGUACACAAGAACAGAUUCU
This 344-nucleotide long non-coding RNA is filed under the name Ananas comosus (pineapple). Its description in RNAcentral is "long non-coding RNA (ACOM_LNC008547)". The record is from RNAcentral. Lineage: Eukaryota; Viridiplantae; Streptophyta; Magnoliopsida; Poales; Bromeliaceae.